AACUGCUCAGUACAGAUUGUACGUUCGUUUUGAAAACUUAAAGAGGGGCCCCCGGCAGUUU
RNAcentral lists this transfer RNA (61 nucleotides) under Hyalella azteca. RNAcentral describes it as "tRNA-Ser". The record is from RNAcentral. Lineage: Eukaryota; Metazoa; Arthropoda; Malacostraca; Amphipoda; Hyalellidae.